AUUGAACGCUGGCGGCAUGCUUUACACAUGCAAGUCGAACGGCAGCGCGGGCUUCGGCCUGGCGGCGAGUGGCGAACGGGUGAGUAAUACAUCGGAACGUGCCCAGUAGUGGGGGAUAGCUCGGCGAAAGCCGGAUUAAUACCGCAUACGACCUGAGGGUGAAAGCGGGGGAUCUUCGGACCUCGCGCUAUUGGAGCGGCCGAUGGCAGAUUAGCUAGUUGGUGGGGUAAAGGCCUACCAAGGCGACGAUCUGUAGCUGGUCUGAGAGGACGACCAGCCACACUGGGACUGAGACACGGCCCAGGCUCCUACGGGAGGCAGCAGUGGGGAAUUUUGGACAAUGGGCGAAAGCCUGAUCCAGCAAUGCCGCGUGUGUGAUGAAGGCCUUCGGGUUGUAAAGCACUUUUGGCGGGAACGAAGAGGACUGUGCCAAUACCACGGUUCGAUGACGGUACCCGCAGAAUAAGCACCGGCUAACUACGUG
RNAcentral lists this ribosomal RNA (484 nucleotides) under uncultured bacterium. RNAcentral describes it as "partial 16S ribosomal RNA". It matches the Rfam family "Bacterial small subunit ribosomal RNA", at positions 29 to 507 of the family's 1533-position model. The record is from RNAcentral.